CAGCCCUGCCAAAGCUGGGCAACUGGCAGUCAGUAUACGUCCUUGCCUUGUUAACCUUAAGCUGCGUCUGUAGCUGAGACCCUUCUGAUUCCUGUCCUGACUGGACAACUAAUGUGGUUUUGUUUCUUUCUACGUAGAGAUUCUGUCUCUCCUGUAUUUCUGCAAGUUGAAAGAACAAUACGUGGUCUUCAUCUUACUGCCAAGCUUGUUGCCUUUCUGAAGGAAUCCCAGCUGUUGAUGUUGCCAUGAAAAUGACAAAGAUACAUGAAAAUUGCACAGAACGUGGAGCACGGGUUUGCAACCUUCAUCAUUAGUUAUCAACUAAUUCCAGAGGUUUACCCAUGAACUGACACUAUUAAGAUCUUCUUUAAGGCACAUCUAAAUGGACAAAUUCCACCAAUGUGAUGGUAGAAGACUUACAUUUCUGACUCUUGCUAGACUUAUCAAGUUCCAAAACUAAAAGUGCUCCAAAAUAUCCUGCUGGUGCCACUGCAAAAAUUAAGCUUGAGUCUAAGCCAAUACAAAGGAAUCUUCAUGGCUGUACAUUGGCUUGGCUGGAGAAAUGGCAAAGCUUCAUGGCUACACCCAGACUUAUCAAACUUCAUAAAUAUAUAAAAUUGAGGAAUUUUUUUAUUCCCACUAUUUGGUAAGGUCUAAAUAAAGCCUUUGAAACUUCACUUACUCAUGCAAAUGUUUAAAAUGCAGCUGUUCAAACUGGAACGCGUACAUUCAUCAAAACAAGAGGACUAACUGGCGUUCAUCAGGGAUUGGAACCCACUAGAUCCAUGGAUCAGGCAUGUAACAACCUUACAGUGACUGAAGUCUUGAAGAUCAAAUGGCUUUAGUUUUAUAUUCCUGUCAUUUUUGCCAGUACAGAUGAGGAAGACCUGUUGGAUCAUUGUCUCACUUACUACAGAUUAGAAAGGAUACGGCUAAGAUAACUUCACAUAGGUGGCUUAAUUCUGAAUGUCUACAAAAGCUGAAAGGUCUUACUGUGAUCCUCUUUGUACAGUUGAAGCCCACUGAGUGUGCAGAAUCAGAUCUUAACAGAUCCACAGGCCUGGCUUCCUACUUCAUUUCAGACAAGACCAGUUAAUUACUUCAAGCAGCAGUUCUUUGCCAGCUGAUGAAAAGCUCAGCUAACUCAUAGCAGCCUCCAACAGAUGAGUACACAGCAGUUACCUCAGGUGCCAGAAGAGUCCCAGGUACAAAAAUAUACCUCAUCUCAGUGACUAAGCUUCCCAGCUCUGUCCUCUCCUGUGAGUCCUAUGCAGAAGGAGUCCUGCUGUUGGCAUUGGACUUUCUCCUGAGCUGAAACACGUGCAGUAAAUAUCCUAGCCCAGAUGACUUUGCUCUUAAAUUGCUUAUAAGAGUGGAUGAACUUCACAACUCCUAGUAUAUAAAGGCCUUCAAAUCUUGCUGUGGUAUGAUUGAUAUGAUCUAAAAAGGAAGUAUUUGGGACAGUUUUUAGCUUUAUCUGGGUCUUAGCUUUUGUUUGGAAGGACAGCAGCAUUUUUAGUUAGUCAUAACUGAGAUCCUGAAUAAGAAAACAGAGCCAGCAUCCUUCACAAGAUCACAGAAUAGUUCAUCCUCUACCCUCACCUAAAGUGAGACCUGAGCUUUAGCUUCACUUCCUUUUCUCUCUUUCCUCUCCAAAGUAUGGGACCAAAUAAUGGGGGCAUUGCCUUGCUGCUGAUCCCUAGCAGAUACUGAUACAGAUACAGCAGCCCUGAGGAAUGGCUGAAGCCUAGCUUUGAAAUCCUGGUGGCUGAAGGAGUAAGUGAACCACAAGGCUUAAUGUUUUGUAUUUUCUCUUCCCUGAAAACAUAAUUUCAGGCUACAGAGAGUUUCCUACCUAGCAAUCUCCUCUAGACAUCUGCUUGUGGUAUAGACAGUUGCAUUCCCAAAGAGGAAAGAAAUAUGAAAGUGAAGGAACCAUUUAUCUUCAGCCUAUGGCACACAUUUUUGAUAUGAGAUGAAAGACCAGGCCCGAGCUGAAUCUUAGUUUUAUUAUGAACCAAUAUAAUUUCCACAAAUUAAUAUACUUUGAAACAAACGCAGUCUCUGUGAGUUGGUUUCUUUUAAAAGUAUUGCCAGCAUUUUCUUUGUUGUUCAUCUGCCAAGAGUUACAUUUGAGGCAGUCAGUGCUAGAUGGGCUAAGCAAGUCCAAAUUCUUCUCUACCUAGAGAGAUUUGUUGGCAUAACUACAUUAAUGUAGUGGUCUUCUUACAAUUCCUUAUUCUGGAAGAAAAGUGCACAGUAAUGCUGCUGGAUUACUUUAAAAUUUUUUGUCAGUCUCAUUCAGUAAGCGGAAAUUUUAAACAAAAUAUUAUUAAUAGCACUAAAACUACACACAUAAAUGCUGCUGUCAUUAGUCAGUCUGCAUAUAAAUCAAUCAGUCUAUAAAACAGGGAAAUUUUUGUUGAUGCAUUUUUUUUUUCUUACUGUAAGAAAUUCUUUGAAACAACACAGUAAAAAAACUUAUCUGACAUAAGUGAAUAUGUGGGUAUGCAUGUAUGGAAAGUGCUCCAUACACAGAACAAUGUAACAGAAAAUAAAUCACUCAUCCUGA
This is a long non-coding RNA of Lagopus leucura (white-tailed ptarmigan), 2572 nucleotides long. RefSeq lists it as uncharacterized. The transcript has 6 exons. The record is from RefSeq and is a predicted model, not a curated record. Lineage: Eukaryota; Metazoa; Chordata; Aves; Galliformes; Phasianidae.